RNAcentral lists this ribosomal RNA (379 nucleotides) under uncultured eukaryote. RNAcentral describes it as "partial 18S ribosomal RNA". It matches the Rfam family "Eukaryotic small subunit ribosomal RNA", at positions 592 to 975 of the family's 1831-position model. The record is from RNAcentral.
CAAUAGCGUAUAUUAAAGUUGUUGCGGUUAAAAAGCUCGUAGUUGGAUUUCUGCCGAGGACGAUCGGUCCGCCCUCUGGGUGAGUAUCUGGUUCGGCCUUGGCAUCUUCUUGGAGAACGUUACUGCACUUGAUUGUGUGGUGCGGUAUCCAGGACUUUUACUUUGAGGAAAUUAGAGUGUUUCAAGCAGGCACACGCCUUGAAUACAUUAGCAUGGAAUAAUAAGAUAGGACGUUGGUUCUAUUUUGUUGGUUUCUAGAGCUGACGUAAUGAUUAAUAGGGAUAGUUGGGGGCACCUGUAUUGCGUUGUCAGAGGUGAAAUUCUUGGAUUUACGCAAGACAAACAGCUGCGAAAGCGUCUGCCAAGGAUGUUUNCAUUA